This 254-nucleotide ribosomal RNA is filed under the name uncultured bacterium. Its description in RNAcentral is "partial 16S ribosomal RNA". It matches the Rfam family "Bacterial small subunit ribosomal RNA", at positions 524 to 776 of the family's 1533-position model. The record is from RNAcentral.
UACGUAGGGGGCAAGCGUUGUCCGGAUUCAUUGGGCGUAAAGAGCUCGUAGGCGGCUUGGCAAGUCGGGUGUGAAACCUCCAGGCUCAACCUGGAGACGCCAUCCGAUACUGCCAUGGCUAGAGUCCGGUAGGGGACCACGGAAUUCCUGGUGUAGCGGUGAAAUGCGCAGAUAUCAGGAGGAACACCGGUGGCGAAGGCGGUGGUCUGGGCCGGAACUGACGCUGAGGAGCGAAAGCGUGGGGAGCGAACAGG